AAGACCCAAUAUCUAACAAAGCAAUCUAACAAUAAUUUCUAUUAUGAAAAUAAGUCGACUUAAUUUAAUCCCCAAAAUCAGAUUGUCACGUGCACAAGCCUCUAAUGUAAAUAUUAGAAUUGAAAUAAAAUACAAGUCUAAAAAUGAAGUUGUCUUUCAAGUAAAAACAAAAUCAUAAACUGGAGUAGGAAAGUUCGCUGACAUGACAAGCAGCUAUGUCACAAUUCUCCACAAGAUGCCUCAGAAACGAAGAGAAUGGAAGGUAUCACGAAAAUUCGGGCUCAGAACCUACAAAAAUUUGUAGAAGAAAGGGGUGAGUACCAAACCACGCGGGUACCCAACAAGCAAACCUCUAAGCACAAGUUAAGGGAACAAAAUACGGGUACUCCAUACACCCAAUCUGAACCUCCACACUACAAACAACUCACAGUUUACCAAACACACAACUCAAUAACCACACUCUAUUAGUUACAUAUUCUCAAUAACAACUCCACAUUCAACAGUCAUAAUUUUCACAGUGAAACACUAAAAAGAUCAGCAACACACGUAUUCAAGUUCAUCAAUAAUAAAAAUGUGUAAUGUCAUGAGAUGCAAUGUCAAGUAUAGUGAUGUGUGUCUUCCCUAACGAUACAUACCCGCUGUCACUCAGUUUGGAACCAUGGGGGACAUAUCUGUCCAUGCAUCUUUCGCGGCGCACGACACGACAUUCGAUAAUAGUAACCAUCGCGGCACGCGAUACGUCGGCGCACGAUACGACACUCGAAAUGGUACAUUCUCUUAUCACAUAACACUUAUUACAAUCAUGUCUCGGAUGCAAAAUGACAUGCUCAAAUGAAAAUGAGGAGAUAACCAUUUUGAUAUCAACACACACUUUACAAUAAGGAAUACAGCACCAACAAAUAAACAAAAAGUCUCCAAAUCAUUCUCAACACCAUACAAGGAAAUACACGAAUUUUAUACGCUUAACAAAAGUUUAGAAAUUCACUUGCCUUAGUCAAUCGAAUAAUUACUCUUGGACUUGAGCCUUCCCUUUCCAUUGAGCUUCCGAAACAAUGAAAUCUAUUCAAGUAUAUAUUCAAAAUAAGUUUCAGAACUAACAACACUCACACUUUUAUGUGUUUAAUCUUAACCUUAAAAAUUCACCAAAAUUUAUAAUCAGGUUCUUAAGUUUCAAGCUUAUGGUUAUGUUUCAAUUCUUUUUUUUUUCAAUAUCAUAAUUCGAAUUUGUAUGAGUCAAUAGAUAUAAUAUUUAAUCACCUAUUCUACAUACCCAAACUUUACACAUAAUGUGAUAAUAAUAAAGUUUUACCAAAUAACUAAUCACUCACGGAACUAACACAACCUUAAAAUCCCAAAAAAUUAUUUGCACCCACCAUAUCCACUCUUCCUAAUUACUAUCCACACAUGCACAUCAGUCAACAAAGAUUUUCAGAGUAGCCUAUUUCCUUUCAAUCCAUUUAUGACCAACAUUUAUUAUUAUUAUUUUUUGUUUUCCCAAUGAUCCAAUAAUACACAUAACAUUAAUAAUAAACAAAUCAUUAAAUUUCCAAUUUAAUAAUGUGUCAAUUAGAAAUCAACAAAAAAAAAAUUUAAUCACCUACAAUAUUUUCCAUUUACAUUAGUUCAUAUUCCCAGACAAUCACCACCCAUGAUUAAUUUUUCUUUUAACAACAACCACAUAAUUACAAAAUAAAUAACUAAUAAUUCUAAAAUAGGUAAUUAAGUCUUCUUUAUCUUUCUACCCAUCAUAUACCAACAUUGCUAUAUAUAAAAUUAUAAUAUUGUGUAUUCACGAAGGCAAUUCAUCCAAAAUUUCCAAUUAUUAAAAGUGCAUACCUGCACUUGUGAUCGACGCCGCCACCGGUCAGUUUUCGUUCCGUUUCUCCUUAUUUUCUUUCAACAGCCGCACACUCUCUUUCUCUUUUCUAAAUUA
This 1933-nucleotide long non-coding RNA is filed under the name Solanum lycopersicum (tomato). RNAcentral's name for it is "long non-coding RNA (SLYC_LNC001162)". The record is from RNAcentral. Lineage: Eukaryota; Viridiplantae; Streptophyta; Magnoliopsida; Solanales; Solanaceae.